GCAGGUGUAGUUUAAUGGUAGAGCGUCAGCCCUCCAAGCUGAUCACGCGGGUUCGAUUCCCGUCACCUGCUCCA
RNAcentral lists this transfer RNA (74 nucleotides) under Bacilli bacterium. RNAcentral describes it as "tRNA-Gly". It matches the Rfam family "tRNA". Rfam says of the family: Transfer RNA (tRNA) molecules are approximately 80 nucleotides in length. Their secondary structure includes four short double-helical elements and three loops (D, anti-codon, and T loops). The record is from RNAcentral. Lineage: Bacteria; Bacillati; Bacillota; Bacilli.